This 606-nucleotide ribosomal RNA is filed under the name uncultured bacterium. Its description in RNAcentral is "bacterial SSU rRNA". It matches the Rfam family "Bacterial small subunit ribosomal RNA", at positions 331 to 929 of the family's 1533-position model. The record is from RNAcentral.
CCAGACUCCACGGGAGGCAGCAGUGGGGAAUCUUCCGCAAUGGACGAAAGUCUGACGGAGCAACGCCGCGUGAGUGAUGACGGCCUUCGGGUUGUAAAGCUCUGUUAAUCGGGACGAAAGGCCUUCUUGCGAAUAGUGAGAAGGAUUGACGGUACCGGAAUAGAAAGCCACGGCUAACUACGUGCCAGCAGCCGCGGUAAUACGUAGGUGGCAAGCGUUGUCCGGAAUUAUUGGGCGUAAAGCGCGCGCAGGCGGAUAGGUCAGUCUGUCUUAAAAGUUCGGGGCUUAACCCCGUGAUGGGAUGGAAACUGCCAAUCUAGAGUAUCGGAGAGGAAAGUGGAAUUCCUAGUGUAGCGGUGAAAUGCGUAGAUAUUAGGAAGAACACCAGUGGCGAAGGCGACUUUCUGGACGAAAACUGACGCUGAGGCGCGAAAGCCAGGGGAGCGAACGGGAUUAGAUACCCCGGUAGUCCUGGCCGUAAACGAUGGGUACUAGGUGUAGGAGGUAUCGACCCCUUCUGUGCCGGAGUUAACGCAAUAAGUACCCCGCCUGGGGAGUACGACCGCAAGGUUGAAACUCAAAGGAAUUGACGGGGGCCCGCACAAG